CAUUUUUGUAUAUCAAAUUUAAGCAUUGUUAGACUUAUAUGAUUUUUGAGUUACAUGGGAAUUGUUUGAACAAACUGAUUGCAUAAACCAGAGACCUGCUAUAUAGAAUGAAAAUAUUUUUUUCAAUUUAAUUAUCUUAUUUAUUUUAUUAAGGUGCUGGAAAAGGUAAAGAUAUGUCUAACAUCACUCAAGUUGAAGAAGAAGAAGAUAUUCCAGUAGUUAAAAGAAAACGGAAAAAACAUCAUCGACGAUUAAAUGAUUUAAAUACAACAACAGAAGAAGAAGAAGAUACAGAUGAUGAUUAUAAGGGUAGCAGGUCUGUUCUUUAUUUAUUUAUUUAUUUUUCAACUCUCAAUUUUCAGUUUAAUUUUAAUUAUUCC
RNAcentral lists this long non-coding RNA (380 nucleotides) under Androctonus crassicauda. The record is from RNAcentral. Lineage: Eukaryota; Metazoa; Arthropoda; Arachnida; Scorpiones; Buthidae.